This is a non-coding RNA of Hipposideros armiger (great roundleaf bat), 1584 nucleotides long. Lineage: Eukaryota; Metazoa; Chordata; Mammalia; Chiroptera; Hipposideridae. The record is from the annotation of a RefSeq genome assembly.
AUGACCUUCCUGGACACAGUUCCCAGGACAAGCCCCUCCGUCUUCCCGGUGGCCUCCUGCUGCAGUAAAACCAGUUCUGCUGACAAGUCCGUGACGCUGGGCUGCCUGGUCCGAGGCUACUUCCCCGAGCCAGUGACCGUGACCUGGGAUGCAGGAUCCCUGGACAAAAACGCCAUUACCUUCCCUGCUGUCUUCGACUCGACCUCUGGCCCCAACUCGACCUCCAGACUCUACGUCACCUUCAGCCAGCUGAUCGUCUCGGGCGCAUGGGCCAAACAGAAGUUCACCUGCAGCGUGGUGCACGCCGGGUCCACCCCCAUCAACAAAACCUUUCUUGCAUGUGCCAUAAACUUCACCCAGCCCACUGUGAAACUCUUCCACUCCUCCUGUGACCCCCUCGGUAACACCCACGCGACCAUCCAGCUCCUGUGCCUCAUCUCCGACUACACCCCAGGUGACAUUGAGGUCACCUGGCUGGUGGAUGGGCAGAAGACCAAGAACAUGUUUCCAUACACCAGUCCCCCCAAGCAGGAGGGCAAGCUGGCCUCCUCCUACAGCCAGCUCAACAUCACCCAGGGCCAGUGGACUUCCCAGAGCACCUACACCUGCCAGGUCAACUACAUGGGCAACACCUACGAGGGCAAUGCCCGUGACUGCCCAGAGUCCGAGCCCCGUGGUGUGAGCGUCUACUUGAUCCCGCCCACUCCCCUCGACCUGUACAUCCACAAGUCGCCCAAGAUCACCUGCCUGGUGGUGGACCUGGCCAGCAUAAAGGGCAUGGUCAUGCAGUGGUCCCGGGAGAACGAGGUCCUCGAGAAGAAGGCCACAGAGAACCACAAGCAGCACUUCAACAUGACUUUUACUGUCACGUCCACCCUGCCAGUGGACGCCAAUGACUGGAUCGAGGGCGUGACCUACCAGUGCAAAGUGACCCACCCACAGCUGCCCAAGGACAUCGUGCGCACCAUCUCCAAGGCCCCCGGCAAGCGAGCUGCCCCUGAGGUCUACGCGUUCCUGCCUCCCGAGGAGAAACAGGGAACCAAGGACAUGGUCACCCUCACCUGCUUGAUCCAGAAUUUCUUCCCCGCCGACAUCUCUGUGCGGUGGCUGCAGGACAACACCCCGAUUCAGACCGACCAGCACACCACCACGGGGCCCCUCAAGGCCAACAGCUCCAGCCCCGCUUUCUUUGUCUUCAGCCGCCUGGAGGUCCGCCAGGCGGACUGGGAGAAGAGCAAAUUCACCUGCCAAGUGGUCCACGAGGCGUUGACUGGCUCCAGGACCCUGGAGAAAUCGGUGUCCAAAGACCCCGAGCUGGACCUCCAGGACCUGUGUGUGGGGACAGCCGAGAGUGAGGAGCUGGACGGGCUGUGGACCAGCCUCUUCACGUUCAUCGCGCUCUUCCUGCUCAGCGUCACCUACGGUGCCUCUGUCACCGUCUUCAAGGUGAAGUGGGUCUUCGCCGCCCUCCUGCAGGAGCCCCAGCCCACCCACGACUACGCGAACGUGCGGCCGCCAGCCUGGGCCUGGAGGGUGAGCAGCGCAGGCCUCCAUUCCGCCCUCCCCACGUCUGAGCAUCGCUGA